Molecule: ribosomal RNA, 497 nt
Filed under: uncultured bacterium
Lineage: Bacteria
Description: partial 16S ribosomal RNA
Rfam family: Bacterial small subunit ribosomal RNA
Source: RNAcentral
GAUGAACGCUGGCGGCGUGCCUAAUACAUGCAAGUCGAGCGAACAGACGAGGAGCUUGCUCCUCUGACGUUAGCGGCGGACGGGUGAGUAACACGUGGAUAACCUACCUAUAAGACUGGGAUAACUUCGGGAAACCGGAGCUAAUACCGGAUAAUAUAUUGAACCGCAUGGUUCAAUAGUGAAAGACGGUUUUGCUGUCACUUAUAGAUGGAUCCGCGCCGCAUUAGCUAGUUGGUAAGUUAACGGCUUACUAAGGCAACGAGGCGUAGCCCACCUGAGAGGGUGAUCGGCCGCACUGUAACUGAGACACGGUCCACACGCCUUCGGGAAGCACCAGGACGGAAUCGGCCGCCAGGGGCGGAAGACUGACGGAGCAACGCCGCGUGAGUGAUGAAGGACUUCGGAUCGGUGAACUCUGUUAUUGGGGAAUAACAAAUGUUUAAGUAACUAUGCACGUCUUGACGGUACCUAAUCAGAAAGCCACGGCUAACUACGUG